Molecule: unclassified non-coding RNA, 585 nt
Filed under: Hevea brasiliensis (rubber tree)
Lineage: Eukaryota; Viridiplantae; Streptophyta; Magnoliopsida; Malpighiales; Euphorbiaceae
Source: RNAcentral
GUGAGAUUCCUCCUACUUCAGGAUUAGGUGAAGUAGUAAAUGUGUGUGUCAAAUAUCUGAAUCUAAGUUCGAUUGCAUCAAGUGAUAAAACUGACCAGGUUGACUACACUGAAAGUCCUAAGUGGAAAGUUGGGGGGACAUUCGGUGCUUCUCAGUCAAGAAAUGCUGUUCCCGUCAUGGAUUCUGGUAAUUCUUGGAACUCGUGGAUUCAGAGGCCAUUGUACAGAUUUAUAUUGAGGACAUUCCUGUAUUGUCCAAUGGAAAGUUCUAUUAAGAAUGCAUCUCAGGUGUUCACCUUGUGGGUUAGUUACCUGGAGCCCUGGUCUAUUUCUAUGGAAGAAUUUGUAGAACUUGAUGCGGAUCUGGGGAAGUCUAAUAGAGGUACAUUAAAGGAGGUUACCCCAUCAACGCCACAAGGUUAUACCUCUUCUUGGCAAGUUUUUGUAUUAGCUAACUACUUAUACUACAGCGCUUUGGUCAUGCAUUUUAUUGGUUUUGCCCACAAGUUUCUUCACACAGAUCCAGAAGUGAUAGUCAAGAUGGUUUCAAAGGUGAUAACAAUACUAACAUCAUCUGCAGAACUGA